UACCAGCACCCCGAGUGGUCGGGACGAUUAUUGGGCCUAAAGCAUCCGUAGCCGGUCCUGCAAGUCUUCCGUUAAAUCCAGCUGCUCAACAGAUGGGCUGCGGGGGAUACUACAGGGCUAGGAGGCGGGAGAGGCAAGCGGUACUUUAUGGGUAGGGGUAAAAUCCGUUGAUCCAUAGAAGAACACCAGUGGCGAAGGCGGCUCACUGGUCCGGUACUGACGCUGAGGUGCGAAAGCGUGGGGAGCAAACAGG
Molecule: ribosomal RNA, 253 nt
Filed under: uncultured bacterium
Lineage: Bacteria
Description: partial 16S ribosomal RNA
Rfam family: Bacterial small subunit ribosomal RNA (bases 27-253)
Source: RNAcentral